RNAcentral lists this ribosomal RNA (440 nucleotides) under uncultured bacterium. Its description in RNAcentral is "partial 16S ribosomal RNA". It matches the Rfam family "Bacterial small subunit ribosomal RNA", at positions 338 to 795 of the family's 1533-position model. The record is from RNAcentral.
CCUACGGGUGGCAGCAGUGGGGAAUAUUGCACAAUGGGGGAAACCCUGAUGCAGCGACGCCGCGUGAGUGAAGAAGUAAUUCGUUAUGUAAAGCUCUAUCAGCAGGGAAGAAAAUGACGGUACCUGAGUAAGAAGCCCCGGCUAAAUACGUGCCAGCAGCCGCGGUAAUACGUAGGGGGCAAGCGUUAUCCGGAUUUACUGGGUGUAAAGGGAGCGCAGGCGGCCUGCCAAGUCUGGUGUGAAAACCCGGGGCCCAACCCCGGGACUGCAUUGGAAACUGGCGGGCUGGAGUGUCGGAGGGGCAGGCGGAAUUCCUGGUGUAGCGGUGAAAUGCGUAGAUAUUAGGAGGAACCCCGGUGGCGAAGGCGGCCUGCUGGACGAUGACUGACGCUGAGGCUCGAAAGCGUGGGGAGCAAACAGGAUUAGAUACCUCUGUAGUC